This 467-nucleotide long non-coding RNA is filed under the name Crocodylus porosus (Australian saltwater crocodile). RNAcentral's name for it is "lncRNA (ENSCPRG00005007087.1)". Lineage: Eukaryota; Metazoa; Chordata; Crocodylia; Crocodylidae. The record is from RNAcentral.
ACACUAAUGUUAACGGCGAUCUCAAUAUAAUUCUUUAUGCAUGACAACUAGAACUGGAGGAACUUCUUCUAUUAUUGGGGCUAAACCAACCUACGCAAAUCGGGAUGUCAUCUUGGAUGUUAAUGCUUUAUCUUCUGAUGCUUGCCCCUGCCAUGAGGAUAUAAAGAAAGGUACAAAUAUGAAUGCAGACCAGUGAGGGCACAGACCUAACCAUGUAGCCAGAGGACUCCUUAAGAUUGGGAAGAUUUAAGCCCUUCAUUAGAACCAAAGGAGCAGAUGUUCCCUCUCCUUCCUCAAGUAGGAGCCUGUGGAAGCGAGCUACAUCUAUCACUGGCUUGAAGUUUUUUGCUUACUUACUUUGAUCUAGCUAAAAUGCUCAACCGAUGGCAACAUCUUUGGAGAAAUGUGAACAGUGUGUUUCUGAUGGGCAAGAUGCCCAUUUCCCUUCCCUCCUUCUCAGUUUUCAC